UAGCCGUAAACGAUACUCGCUAGGUGUCGGCCACGGUGCGACCGUUGUCGGUGCCGUAGGGAAGCCGUGAAGCGAGCCACCUGGGAAGUACGGCCGCAAGGCUGAAACUUAAAGGAAUUGGCGGGGGAGGCACCACAACGGGUGGAGCUUGCGGUUUAAUUUGGAUUCAACGCCGGGAAGCUCACCGGAUAAGACAGCGGAAUGAUUGCCGGGCUGAAGACCCUGCAUGACCAGCUGAGAGGAGGUGCAUGGCGUAGUCGUGU
Molecule: ribosomal RNA, 263 nt
Filed under: uncultured archaeon
Lineage: Archaea
Description: partial 16S ribosomal RNA
Rfam family: Archaeal small subunit ribosomal RNA
Source: RNAcentral